RNAcentral lists this ribosomal RNA (251 nucleotides) under uncultured prokaryote. RNAcentral describes it as "partial 16S ribosomal RNA". It matches the Rfam family "Bacterial small subunit ribosomal RNA", at positions 525 to 775 of the family's 1533-position model. The record is from RNAcentral.
ACGUAGGGUGCAAGCGUUAUCCGGAAUUAUUGGGCGUAAAGAGCUCGUAGGCGGUUUGUCGCGUCUGUCGUGAAAGUCCGGGGCUCAACUCCGGAUCUGCGGUGGGUACGGGCAGACUAGAGUGAUGUAGGGGAGACUGGAAUUCCUGGUGUAGCGGUGGAAUGCGCAGAUAUCAGGAGGAACACCGAUGGCGAAGGCAGGUCUCUGGGCAUUAACUGACGCUGAGGAGCGAAAGCAUGGGGAGCGAACAG